GUGUGACUGCAGGACACAUGAACAUCGACAUUUUGAACGCAUAUCGCAGUCCAUGCUGUUAUGUACUUUAAUUAAUUUUUUAGUGCUGCUUGGACUACAUAUGGUUGAGGGUUGUAAGACUAUGCUAAAUAAGUUGUUUAAAAUUUUUCGGAAUUUUAAGCACAUUGUAUAUUAUUGGAUAAUAUAAGUGUGAAUCUAAAAAGUUCUCGCUUAAAAUAUUCAUAAUAUGAAUUAAUAAAUGAAAAUACUAAAACUCUGUUGCAUGAGAAAUUUGAAGAAUUAUAUGUUCUUUAUUCAUUUCAAAUAAUAUUGAGGAAUGUCUAGCAUAAAAUAUAUUAUUUUAUAAACUAGAAUUGCCUCUUAUUAACGAAUAUGGUAUAAAGAAUAAUUUUGUGAAUAUUAUGGACCUUCAAGAAAAAAAUAGUAUAUUUCAAAAUAGGCAGAGAAUUGUCUAUAAGUGUAAUUAAACAACCUCAACUCAUAUGGGACUACCCCCUGAAUUUAAGCAUAUUAAUUAGGGGAGGAAAAGAAACUAACAAGGAUUUUCUUAGUAGCGGCGAGCGAAAAGAAAUCAGUUCAGCACUAAGUCACUUUGUCUAUAUGGCAAAUGUGAGAUGCAGUGUAUGGAACGUCAAUAUUCUAGUAUGAGAAAUUAACGAUUUAAGUCCUUCUUAAAUGAGGCCAUUUACCCAUAGAGGGUGCCAGGCCCGUAUAACGUUAAUGAUUAUUAGAUGAUGUUUCCAAAGAGUCGUGUUGCUUGAUAGUGCAGCACUAAGUGGGUGGUAAACUCCAUCUAAAACUAAAUAUAACCAUGAGACCGAUAGUAAACAAGUACCGUGAGGGAAAGUUGAAAAGAACUCUGAAUAGAGAGUUAAAUAGUACGUGAAACUGCUUAGAGGUUAAGCCCGAUGAACCUGAAUAUCCGUUAUGGAAAAUUCAUCAUUAGAAUUGUAAUAUUUAAUCAAUAUUAUAACGAUAGUGUGCAUUUUUUCCAUAUAAGGACAUUGUAAUCUAUUAGCAUGUAUGGAAUUUAUCAAACAAUUUUGAUAAGAGUUUAUUUAAAUUAGAGUGCUUGCAUUUUAACAUAAAAUAAAUUUCAAAAAUUUGAUAAAGUGCUGAUAGAUUAUAUGAGUACAGUGCGUUAAUUUUUCGGAAUUAUAUAAUGGCAUGAUUAUCAUUGAUUUUUAUGUUUAUUAUAAGCACUUGUAUGAUUAACAAUGCGAAAGAUUCAGGAUACCUUCGGGACCCGUCUUGAAACACGGACCAAGGAGUCUAACAUAUGUGCAAGUUAUUGGGAUAUAAACCUAAUAGCGUAAUUAACUUGACUAUUAUUGGGAUUAGUUUUUUAACUAUUUAUAGUUGAUUAACGCAAUCCCGGGGCGUUCUAUAUAGUUAUGUAUAAUAAUAUUUAUAUUAUUUAUGCCUCUAACUGGAACGUACCUUGAGCAUAUAUGCUGUGACCCGAAAGAUGGUGAACUAUACUUGAUCAGGUUGAAGUCAGGGGAAACCCUGAUGGAAGACCGAAACAGUUCUGACGUGCAAAUCGAUUGUCAGAAUUGAGUAUAGGGCGAAAGACCAAUCGAACCAUCUAGUAGCUGG
Molecule: ribosomal RNA, 1599 nt
Filed under: Drosophila nasuta
Lineage: Eukaryota; Metazoa; Arthropoda; Insecta; Diptera; Drosophilidae
Description: eukaryotic LSU rRNA
Rfam family: Eukaryotic large subunit ribosomal RNA (bases 469-1599)
Source: RNAcentral